This 228-nucleotide unclassified non-coding RNA is filed under the name plant metagenome. Its description in RNAcentral is "partial contains small subunit ribosomal RNA and internal transcribed spacer 1". The stretch from base 1 to 46 matches the Rfam family "Eukaryotic small subunit ribosomal RNA", at positions 1786 to 1831 of the family's 1831-position model. The record is from RNAcentral.
AAGUCGUAACAAGGUUUCCGUAGGUGAACCUGCGGAAGGAUCAUUAAAGAGUAAGGGUGCUCAGCGCCCGACCUCCAACCCUUUGUUGUUAAAACUACCUUGUUGCUUUGGCGGGACCGCUCGGUCUCGAGCCGCUGGGGAUUCGUCCCAGGCGAGCGCCCGCCAGGGUUAAACCAAACUCUUGUAUUAAACCAGUCGUCUGAGUAUAAAAUUCUAAUUAAAUUAAAA